UACGGGGGGGGCAAGCGUUGUUCGGAAUUACUGGGCGUAAAGCGCAUGUAGGCGGCCUAGCAGGUCGGAUGUGAAAUCCCUCGGCUCAACCAAGGAAGUGCAUUCGAAACCGCAAGGCUGGAGUCCCGGAGAGGAUGGUGGAAUUCUCGGUGUAGAGGUGAAAUCCGUUGAUCUAUAGAGGAACACCAAAUGGCGAAGGCAAUCAACCAUUCUGUUCCUGACAUUGAGGCAUGAAAGCGUGGGUAGCAAACCGG
Molecule: ribosomal RNA, 254 nt
Filed under: uncultured bacterium
Lineage: Bacteria
Description: partial 16S ribosomal RNA
Rfam family: Bacterial small subunit ribosomal RNA
Source: RNAcentral